This 405-nucleotide ribosomal RNA is filed under the name uncultured bacterium. RNAcentral's name for it is "bacterial SSU rRNA". It matches the Rfam family "Bacterial small subunit ribosomal RNA", at positions 354 to 776 of the family's 1533-position model. The record is from RNAcentral.
GUGGGGAAUAUUGCACAAUGGGCGAAAGCCUGAUGCAGCAAUGCCGCGUGUGUGAAGAAGGCCUGCGGGUUGUAAAGCACUUUCGAUAGGGAAGAUUAUGACGGUACCUAUAGAAGAAGCACCGGCUAACUCCGUGCCAGCAGCCGCGGUAAUACGGAGGGUGCAAGCGUUAAUCGGAAUUACUGGGCGUAAAGCGCGCGUAGGCGGCUCAGUCAGUCGGAUGUGAAAGCCCCGGGCUCAACCUGGGAAUUGCAUUCGAUACUGCUGAGCUAGAGUAUGGAAGAGGGAAGUGGAAUUCCGGGUGUAGCGGUGAAAUGCGUAGAUAUCCGGAGGAACACCAGUGGCGAAGGCGACUUCCUGGGCCAAUACUGACGCUGAGGUGCGAAAGCGUGGGGAGCAAACAGG